CUUUCUCACUUCACUUAGCUGUUUCUCAUCCUUUCUCUCUCUUUAAUUCCUAAAAUCCUCUCUAAUCUUUUGCAACCCCUUAAUCCCUCUCCAAUCUUUGAAUUAUUUUCAUCAAUCUACGUUUCCUGCUAAACACUACGCCUUCUUCUCAGCAUCUCCUUCAUCAUCAAUCCAAGCAAGUUGCGGCCACUCAAAUCCAUCUUUGUUUCAGGGAGGAGAAGAUUCAUUCCACAAUGGAGGAUGGGCAAAACCAAGAGAAUUGAAGAUUGUAUAUAAAAUCACUGUAGCUUUUGAAAUCCAAUUUGUAAUUUGUUAAGUAGACUUGGUUUGUAAUCUAUUAAGUAAUUUUUUUAGAAAAUUUUAUUUGGGAUUAAAUUGUUAUUUUUCUUUAGAAUUUUAAAAUGCAAUUGAAUGAACAGAACAAAAUUAGGUUGAGUCAAUAAAAUCAGGUUGGUCGAGUUGACCCAACCCGUAUAAA
Molecule: long non-coding RNA, 478 nt
Organism: Chenopodium quinoa (quinoa)
Lineage: Eukaryota; Viridiplantae; Streptophyta; Magnoliopsida; Caryophyllales; Amaranthaceae
Exons: 2
Source: RefSeq, a predicted model, not a curated record